RNAcentral lists this small nuclear RNA (203 nucleotides) under Vigna angularis var. angularis. RNAcentral describes it as "Non-protein coding transcript". The stretch from base 1 to 136 matches the Rfam family "U4 spliceosomal RNA". From Rfam's summary of the family: U4 small nuclear RNA (U4 snRNA) is a component of the major U2-dependent spliceosome. The structure of U4 snRNA from yeast and human has been reported. U4 snRNA presents a k-turn RNA motif in the 5p-SL related to recognition of Snu13 protein. Lineage: Eukaryota; Viridiplantae; Streptophyta; Magnoliopsida; Fabales; Fabaceae. The record is from RNAcentral.
GCUUGGGGCAAUGACGUAGCUAGUGAGGUUCUAACCGAGGCGCGUCUAUUGCUGGUUGAAAACUAUUUCCAAACCCCCUCUUAGGCCUGGGUUCAGCCUAGGCCUUCGAGAAUUUCUGGAAGGACUCCCUUAGGGGUUAUCCUGUCAGGACCUCUUUUUACCAAUCAAGGUUGCUGAUGAUCCGAGGUUGAGUCAUCACACAA